Molecule: long non-coding RNA, 2024 nt
Filed under: Sarcophilus harrisii (Tasmanian devil)
Lineage: Eukaryota; Metazoa; Chordata; Mammalia; Dasyuromorphia; Dasyuridae
Description: lncRNA (ENSSHAG00000028067.1)
Source: RNAcentral
AUGUGACGAGCAAUGGUGUCAGGUCUUCUGGGACUGAGGAAGUGAAGGGCUAGCCUCGGCCCGAGACUGGGGAGCCUCAGGCUUUACCACACGCUUCUGCUUCAUUUGACUCCCUGGCUCCCAUCACCUCCAGGAGCAGAUUUGGCCUCCCCCGGCAUGACAGCCCUCCCCAGCCUGCUCCCUUCCUCCCUUCCCGGGCUUCUGACACUAUCCCCCCUGGACCCCGUGACCCGGGCCCCGGGCCCGGAGCGCUCGUUCUCUUCCGCUCGGCCUCCUGCCUUCCCUGGCACCUCCACUGCCUUCCUUCUCCUCACACUGUACAUAUUUUGUGUCUCUGUAGUUAUUAACAUGUUGUCUCUUCCAUUAGAAUGUGCGCCCCCGAGGCAAGGGACCUGAUUUUUUGCUUUCCUUUGUAUCCACAGCACUUAGCCCAGUGCCUGGUGCCUAGUGAGCCCUGAAUAAAUGUUUUGUUGACCCAUUUCCGGUUCCUGUGGCCCGGGCGCCCCGGUGCCCGUGGGCACCUAGUGGUUUGUGGAGAGCUUGCCAUCUGUUCUCAUUUCAUCCCCACCACAGCCCUGCCAAGUAGGGAGCACAACCAGCAUCCCCAUUGUACAGAUGAGGAAACCGAAACACGGAGCUCAAGUAGCUCAGCUGCCGGGGUCCCUGACUUCAAAUCUGGGGCUCUUUCUGUGCUGUGGCAUCCGCCUCUUAGGGGGAAGCUCAGUUUACUUCAAGGGGCAGUUAAUACGUUCCCAGUGAUCCCCACAAGGCUCUGUGCCGGGUGCCGGGGAUGCAGAGAGCAGUGACUAGAGCCUGCCCUCCAGGAGCUUACCUUCUUUUUGCACAUACAGCGUUCCCUCAGCCCAUUUUGUACCCAGUGGUUGGGGAAUCGAGUUUCCCCGACUUAAGUCUCUGGAAGGUGCAUAGGGGAGGCGAUUCCCGCUUGAGGGUUCUGAGCAGAGGGAGAUAAAGUCGCCUCCGGGCUUACCUGGGACAGGAGAACGCUGGUGAGCGUCCCGGAAAGGUGCAGCUGCAGAGUCCCGACUGUUGGGCGCCCUGGUGAUGAAUGCUGGAGAAAGGGUUGCUCCGGGGAAGGUGUCUGUCGCCUCCCCAAUCCCCACAGUGGGGGACUCCCUUCCCCUUAAACGAUAGCAUCUUCUAAAGUCCUUGCCACCCCUGCUGUCUGCCGGAGGCUCUAAGGCCGGGCCAAGUUUCCCUCAAGGCCAUUCCCGGUAACUAGCUAGCUACCCAGAAAGAACCAAGCGGAUGAAAGCCACUCAUUUGUCUGGCCUACGUGGGCUUGCACAGGCAGCCCAGAUCUUGGCAGCUGCUGCAAAGGCCUGAACCAGGCCCAGAACUGAAUGGGCGAGUAUGGCUGACCUUCAUCAGGGAGAUGGUGCAGUAAUUUUAAUGAUGGAUCCUCAGGACUCUCACCAAAACACACAUUUCACCUUGAAAUGCCAGUAUGGCCAAGAAUCAGGAGAUCUCUCCAAACGCUGAAACCUCAGGUCACCUCAAAUGCCAUCAGGGGCGCUCAAUAUACACAUCCACAGAGCCCUGGGACUGGAGUCUGGAAACCCGAGUUCAAAUUUAAUCUCAGACAUGAAUAGCUGUGUGACCCUGAGCAAGUCAUUUGCCUCAGUCUCUGCAACUGCAGACAAUGAUAAUACAUCACAAGUCCUUACAGGACUGGAAAAAGUACAUAUUUUCUGGUCCUUUGGGGGGAAUCACAGAAACAUUUUUUUAUUUUAAAAAUUUAUUGAAUUAUUAAUUAUUUUUAAUUCCUUGAUUACUGUUAAAAGAGUUUUUGAAAAGCGAUUGGGCUUAAGUGACUUGCCCAGAGUCACACAGCUAAUGUCUGUUAAGUGUCUGAGGCUUGAUUUGAAUCAAGGUCCUUUUGACCCCAGGGCUGGUGCUCUAACUGCCCCUAUAAAAUUUACUUUUUACAUUUUGUUGACAACAUUUUAUAUGGAUCCGACCGAUACUUUCUAAUGAAGACCCCACUGUACUCUUUAACCUAAUAC